RNAcentral lists this ribosomal RNA (264 nucleotides) under uncultured cyanobacterium. Its description in RNAcentral is "partial 16S ribosomal RNA". It matches the Rfam family "Bacterial small subunit ribosomal RNA", at positions 1271 to 1533 of the family's 1533-position model. The record is from RNAcentral. Lineage: Bacteria; Bacillati; Cyanobacteriota.
AUCCCAUAAACCGUGGCUCAGUUCAGAUCGUAGGCUGCAACUCGCCUACGUGAAGUAGGAAUCGCUAGUAAUCGCAGGUCAGCAUACUGCGGUGAAUACGUUCCCGGGCCUUGUACACACCGCCCGCCACACCAUGGAAGUUGGCCAUGCCCGAAGUCGUUACUUCAACCCUUGUGGAGGAGGACGCCGAAGGUGGGGCUAAUGACUGGGGUGAAGUCGUAACAAGGUAGCCGUACCGGAAGGUGCGGCUGGAUUACCUCCUAA